RNAcentral lists this ribosomal RNA (480 nucleotides) under uncultured bacterium. RNAcentral's name for it is "bacterial SSU rRNA". It matches the Rfam family "Bacterial small subunit ribosomal RNA", at positions 501 to 984 of the family's 1533-position model. The record is from RNAcentral.
CUACGUGCCAGCAGCCGCGGUAAUACGGAAGGUCCGGGCGUUAUCCGGAUUUAUUGGGUUUAAAGGGAGCGUAGGCUGGAGAUUAAGUGUGUUGUGAAAUGUAGACGCUCAACGUCUGACUUGCAGCGCAUACUGGUUUCCUUGAGUACGCACAACGUUGGCGGAAUUCGUCGUGUAGCGGUGAAAUGCUUAGAUAUGACGAAGAACUCCGAUUGCGAAGGCAGCUGACGGGAGCGCAACUGACGCUGAAGCUCGAAGGUGCGGGUAUCGAACAGGAUUAGAUACCCUGGUAGUCCGCACAGUAAACGAUGGAUGCCCGCUGUUGGUACUUGGUAUCAGCGGCUAAGCGAAAGCAUUAAGCAUCCCACCUGGGGAGUACGCCGGCAACGGUGAAACUCAAAGGAAUUGACGGGGGCCCGCACAAGCGGAGGAACAUGUGGUUUAAUUCGAUGAUACGCGAGGAACCUUACCCGGGCUKAA